CCUACGGGAGGCUGCAGUGGGGAAUAUUGGACAAUGGGGGGAACCCUGAUCCAGCCAUGCCGCGUGUGUGAAGAAGGCCCUCGGGUUGUAAAGCACUUUCAGUGAGGAAGAACGCCUGGUGGUUAAUACCCAUCAGGAAAGACAUCACUCACAGAAGAAGCACCGGCUACACUCCGUGCCAGCAGCCGCGGUAAUACGGAGGGUGCGAGCGUUAAUCGGAAUUACUGGGCGUAAAGCGCGCGUAGGUGGCUUGAUAAGCCGGUUGUGAAAGCCCCGGGCUCAACCUGGGAACGGCAUCCGGAACUGUCAAGCUAGAGUGCAGGCGAGGAAGGUAGAAUUCCCGGUGUAGCGGUGAAAUGCGUAGAGAUCGGGAGGAAUACCAGUGGCGAAGGCGGCCUUCUGGACUGACACUGACACUGAGGUGCGAAAGCGUGGGUAGCAAACAGGAUUAGAUACCCUAGUAGUC
This 466-nucleotide ribosomal RNA is filed under the name Vreelandella stevensii. RNAcentral describes it as "partial 16S ribosomal RNA". It matches the Rfam family "Bacterial small subunit ribosomal RNA", at positions 338 to 795 of the family's 1533-position model. Lineage: Bacteria; Pseudomonadati; Pseudomonadota; Gammaproteobacteria; Oceanospirillales; Halomonadaceae. The record is from RNAcentral.